UACGUAGGGCGCAAGCGUUGUCCGGAAUUAUUGGGCGUAAAGAGCUCGUAGGUGGUUUGUUACGUCUGCUGUGAAAACCUAGGGCUUAACCCUGGGCCUGCAGUGGAUACGGGCAGACUAGAGGUAGGUAGGGGAGAAUGGAAUUCCCGGUGUAGCGGUGAAAUGCGCAGAUAUCAGGAGGAACACCGGUGGCGAAGGCGGGUCUCUGGGCCAAAACUGACGCUGAGGAGCGAAAGCGUGGGGAGCGAACAGG
RNAcentral lists this ribosomal RNA (253 nucleotides) under uncultured bacterium. Its description in RNAcentral is "partial 16S ribosomal RNA". It matches the Rfam family "Bacterial small subunit ribosomal RNA", at positions 524 to 776 of the family's 1533-position model. The record is from RNAcentral.